RNAcentral lists this ribosomal RNA (274 nucleotides) under uncultured bacterium. RNAcentral's name for it is "partial 16S ribosomal RNA". It matches the Rfam family "Bacterial small subunit ribosomal RNA", at positions 523 to 796 of the family's 1533-position model. The record is from RNAcentral.
AUACGGAGGGUACAAGCGUUAUUCGGAAUCACUGGGCGUAAAGGACGCGUAGGCGGGUUGGCAAGUCAGAUGUGAAAUCCUACAGCUUAACUGUAGAACUGCAUUUGAAACUGCUAACCUAGAGUAUGGGAGGGGGAGAUGGAAUUAGUGGUGGAGGGGUAAAAUCCGUAGAUAUCACUAGGAAUACCGAAAGCGAAGGCGAUCUCCUGGAACAUAACUGACGCUAAGGCGUGAAAGCGUGGGGAGCAAACAGGAUUAGAAACCCUUGUAGUCC